Molecule: ribosomal RNA, 279 nt
Filed under: uncultured bacterium
Lineage: Bacteria
Description: partial 16S ribosomal RNA
Rfam family: Bacterial small subunit ribosomal RNA
Source: RNAcentral
UGCCAGCCGCCGCGGUAAUACGGAGGGGGCUAGCGUUGUUCGGAAUUACUAGGCGUAAAGCGCGCGUAGGCGGAUUGGUUAGUUGGGGGUGAAAUCCCGGAGCUUAACUCCGGAACUGCCUUCAAAACUGCCAGUCUUGAGUCCGAGAGAGGUGAGUGGAAUUCCUAGUGUAGAGGUGAAAUUCGUAGAUAUUAGGAAGAACACCAGUGGCGAAGGCGGCUCACUGGCUCGGUACUGACGCUGAGGUGCGAAAGCGUGGGGAGCAAACAGGAUUAGAUA